This is a long non-coding RNA of Gadus chalcogrammus (walleye pollock), 601 nucleotides long. RefSeq lists it as uncharacterized. The record is from RefSeq and is a predicted model, not a curated record. NCBI's taxonomy places the organism in Eukaryota, Metazoa, Chordata, Actinopteri, Gadiformes, Gadidae. The transcript has 4 exons.
UGAAUGCGGUGCAUGCGAUCCCUCUACCAGCCAUGGCUAGAUGCAAAUGCCCAUGCGCGAAAGACACACGCUUUUGGAAUUUGCGGCAAUGAAUGUUAAAAACAAAAUGUAUCGAUUACCUUAGGAACAUUGUAUUUAGAGAGGCCAAGACAAGCAGUUAAAAGUGACAUAAACGUAAAUGAGACAGAAAGUUGAGAGCUCGUUCAAGCAGAUAAACCGAAAUGUUGUGUAAUGAGAUGUCUAAAAUUUGUUGGAUAGACGCUAAACGCUUGCACUAAUGGAUUAAACGGACAUAGGUGUACUGGACACUCAACGCUCACGAGACGACAAUUUCCUUUUGAUGCUUCGCCCGAGGGCUGGAUUAACCUGCCGCCCGUACACCACCUCCCCUCAAGUGGCUGAAUCCCUAUUGCUUAUCUGUCUCACCACAGCGAGGUCAGGCGUGGACUACAGCAAAGCAGAUGCAGCGUGUGGAUGGAUGGAACAAACUGCUCAUUACUGCAACACUGAACAUGUUGUGUUUCCUGUGCUGUGUCGUAUGCAGUUAUCAAAAAUGGGACCCUUUUAUAUUCUGGAAGAUGUGGGCUCGUAUCGAGAGAUA